GAUGAACGCUGGCGGCGUGCCUAAUACAUGCAAGUCGAGCGAACAGACGAGGAGCUUGCUCCUCUGACGUUAGCGGCGGACGGGUGAGUAACACGUGGAUAACCUACCUAUAAGACUGGGAUAACUUCGGGAAACCGGAGCUAAUACCGGAUAAUAUAUUGAACCGCAUGGUUCAAUAGUGAAAGACGGUUUUGCUGUCACUUAUAGAUGGAUCCGCGCCGCAUUAGCUAGUUGGUAAGGUAACGGCUUACCAAGGCAACGAUGCGUAGCCGACCUGAGAGGGUGAUCGGUCACACUGGAACUGAGACACGGUCCAGACUCCUACGGGAGGCAGCAGUAGGGAAUCUUCCGCAAUGGGCGAAAGCCUGACGGAGCAACGCCGCGUGAGUGAUGAAGGUCUUCGGAUCGUAAAACUCUGUUAUUAGGGAAGAACAAAUGUGUAAGUAACUAUGCACGUCUUGACGGUACCUAAUCAGAAAGCCACGGCUAACUACGUA
RNAcentral lists this ribosomal RNA (497 nucleotides) under uncultured bacterium. Its description in RNAcentral is "partial 16S ribosomal RNA". It matches the Rfam family "Bacterial small subunit ribosomal RNA", at positions 28 to 507 of the family's 1533-position model. The record is from RNAcentral.